This 216-nucleotide ribosomal RNA is filed under the name Glomeromycotina sp. Its description in RNAcentral is "partial small subunit ribosomal RNA". The stretch from base 40 to 216 matches the Rfam family "Eukaryotic small subunit ribosomal RNA", at positions 686 to 864 of the family's 1831-position model. The record is from RNAcentral. Lineage: Eukaryota; Fungi; Glomeromycota.
GGGUCAGUAGGUUGGACGUGCCUCCGGUACGUACUGGUCUCACUGAUUCCUCCUUCCUGAAGAACCGUAAUGCCAUUAAUUUGGUGUUGCGGGGAAACAGGACAGUUACUUUGAAAAAAUUAGAGUGUUUAAAGCAAGCUAACGCUUGAAUACAUUAGCAUGGAAUAAUGAAAUAGGACGAUCGAUCCUAUUUUGUUGGUUUCUAGGAUUGACGUA